RNAcentral lists this transfer RNA (76 nucleotides) under Polaromonas sp. P1(28)-8. Its description in RNAcentral is "tRNA-Val". It matches the Rfam family "tRNA". Rfam says of the family: Transfer RNA (tRNA) molecules are approximately 80 nucleotides in length. Their secondary structure includes four short double-helical elements and three loops (D, anti-codon, and T loops). Further hydrogen bonds mediate the characteristic L-shaped molecular structure. tRNAs have two regions of fundamental functional importance: the anti-codon, which is responsible for specific mRNA codon recognition, and the 3' end, to which the tRNAs corresponding amino acid is attached (by aminoacyl-tRNA synthetases). tRNAs cope with the degeneracy of the genetic code in two manners: having more than one tRNA (with a specific anti-codon) for a particular amino acid; and 'wobble' base-pairing, i.e. permitting non-standard base-pairing at the 3rd anti-codon position. Lineage: Bacteria; Pseudomonadati; Pseudomonadota; Betaproteobacteria; Burkholderiales; Comamonadaceae. The record is from RNAcentral.
GGGCGGUUAGCUCAGGGGUAGAGCACUGCAUUCACACUGCAGGGGUCGCAGGUUCUGAAGCCUGCACCGCCCACCA